GUUGUCUGUAACCUGUAACUAGCCUAGGGAGGGACAUGUUGUCUGUAAACUGUAACUAGCCUGGGGAGAGACAUGUUGUCUGUAACCUGUAACUAGCCUAGGGAGAGACAUGUUGUCUGUAAACUGUAACUAGCCUGGGGAGAGACAUGUUGUCUGUAACCUGUAUCUAGCCUAGGGAGAGACAUGUUGUCUGUAACCUGUAACUAGCCUGGGGAGAGACAUGUUGUCUGUAACCUGUAACUAGCCUGGGGAGAGACAUGUUGUCUGUAACCUGUAACUAGCCUAGGGAGAGACAUGUUGUCUGUAACCUGUAUCUAGCCUAGGGAGAGACAUGUUGUCUGUAACCUGUAACUAGCCUGGGGAGGGACAUGUUGUCUGUAACCUGUAACUAGCCUAGGGAGAGACAUGUUGUCUGUAACCUGUAACUAGCCUAGGGAGAGACAUGUUGUCUGUAACCUGUAACUAGCCUAGGGAGAGACAUGUUGUCUGUAACCUGUAACUAGCCUAGGGAGAGACAUGUUGUCUGUAACCUGUAACUAGCCUGGGGAGAGACAUGUUGUCUGUAACCUGUAACUAGCCUAGGGAGAGACAUGUUGUCUGUAACCUGUAACUAGCCUGGGGAGAGACAUGUUGUCUGUAACCUGUAACUAGCCUGGGGAGAGACAUGUUGUCUGUAACCUGUAACUAGCCUGGGGAGAGACAUGUUGUCUGUAACCUGUAACUAGCCUAGGGAGAGACCUGGCUGGCUUGCUUUAUUUAAAUGAAUGUAAUACACAUUGUUAUAUCCUUCUGGUUAAAUCCCAAAUGGCACCCUAUUCCCUACAUAGUGCACUACUUUUGACCAGGUCCCAUAGUGCUCUGUUCAAAAGUAGUGCACUUUAUAGGGAAUAGGGUGCCAUUUGGGCCAAAUAUAGGAUAAUUUGACUGUAGCCUUCUGCGUUGAGCAGAGACAACUUUUUCCUUGUUGGCACUUUAUCUGUUGGUUAGUAGGUGUUAUUAUAUUAUUGAACCUCUGGAGCCAUACGCUAUUGGGUUAGUCAGGCUGAUCAGCAAGUCUCAAUAAGGUGUUGGGAUCAACAAGUCUCAAUAAGGUGUUGGGAUCAACAAGUCUCAAUAAGGUGUUGGGUUAGUCAGACUGAUCAGCAAGUCUCAAUAAGGUGUUGGGUUAGUCAGGCUGAUCAACAAGUCUCAAUAAGGUGUUGGGUUAGUCAGACUGAUCAGCAAGUCUCAAUAAGGUGUUGGGUUAGUCAGGCUGAUCAACAAGUCUCAAUAAGGUGUUGGGUUAGUCAGACUGAUCAGCAAGUCUCAAUAAGGUGUUGGGUUAGUCAGGCUGAUCAACAAGUCUCAAUAAGGUGUUGGGUUAGUCAGGCUGAUCAGAAAGUCUCAAGCCUCAAACACCUUAGUAAUAUAUUCUGUCCAUGGACUCAUGUUACUCAUUUUCACUGGGGGGUGCGUCCCAAAUGUCAACUCAUUCUACAUUUGACCAGGGCCCAUAUGGGGGAAUAGGAAGUCAUUAAUGACCAGGGCCCAUAUGGGGGAAUAGGAAGUCAUUAAUGACCAGGGCCCAUAUGGGGGAAUAGGAAGUCAUUAAUGACCAGGGCCCAUAUGGGGGAAUAGUGUGUUCUCAGAAGGUGAAGCCAGUAGUGGCCUACUGGGCCGAGGCUUUGAUGUUGCUUUCCUGUGGCGUUACUUCUUUAUUUUAUCCUUGGUGGGGUUUAUUUUAUGUAAAUCAAGGAGACGUGCUUUUGAUUUGUCUGUUGAGUGUAAGGGGUUGUCCCAAAUGUCACCCUAUUCCCUAUGUAGUGCAUUACUAUGGGCCCUAUUCCCUAUGUAGUGCGCUACUAUGGGCCCUAUUCCCUAUGUAGUGCGCUACUAUGGGCCCUAUUCCCUAUGUAGUGCGCUACUAUGGGCCCUAUUCCCUAUGUAGUGCGCUACUAUGGGCCCUAUUCCCAAUGUAGUGCGCUACUAUGGGCCCUAUUCCCUAUGUAGUGCGCUACUAUGGGCCCUAUUCCCUAUGUAGUGCGCCACUAUGGGCCCUAUUCCCUAUGUAGUGCGCCACUAUGGGCCCUAUUCCCUAUGUAGUGCGCUACUGUGGGCCCUAUUCCCUAUGUAGUGCUCUACUAUGGGCCCUAUUCCCUAUGUAGUGCUCUACUAUGGGCCCUAUUCCCUAUGUAGUGCUCUACUAUGGGCCCUAUUCCCUAUGUAGUGCACUAUAAAUGGAAUAAGGUGCCAUUAGGGAGACAAGCCAUCUCAGAACAUACGCUGUUAAACCAUUGAGUACAUAACUGUGCUGUUACAUAUUUAUAUAAUUUGUAAGUAUGCAUAUUGUAAUUAUUUUAUAUUUGUAUACAUGCACUAGUUUAUAAGUGUGCAUUAUUUUUUCGGGACAUGAAUCAAACUGACGUGUAAAAAAGUUGAAAAAAAUAAAGUACUUUUUUUGUUAACCUGUCUCUGUCUGUUUGUCUGGUCUGUUUGUCUGGUCUGUUUGUCUGGUCUGUUUGUCUGGUCUGUUUGUCUGGUCUGUUUGUCUGGUUUGGUCUGUCUGGUCUGUCUGUCUGGUCUGGUCUGUUUGUCUGGUUUGGUCUGUUUGUCUGGUUUGGUCUGUCUGGUCUGUCUGUCUGGUCUGUCUGUGUCUGGUUUGGUCUGUUUGUCUGGUCUGUCUGUCGAUCUUUGGCCAGGAUUCAAUCCAAGGCACGUUACAGGUCGACACUCUAAACAGCCGACAACGCUCCUCUAAAGGCAAUGUCCCCAGCGUUCACGGAGAUCACAUUCAUG
Molecule: long non-coding RNA, 2775 nt
Filed under: Salmo salar (Atlantic salmon)
Lineage: Eukaryota; Metazoa; Chordata; Actinopteri; Salmoniformes; Salmonidae
Description: lncRNA (ENSSSAG00000102842.1, ENSSSAG00000111594.1)
Source: RNAcentral